UGGGGAAUUUUGCACAAUGGGGGAAACCCUGAUGCAGCGACGCCGCGUGAUUUAGAAGGCCUUCGGGUUGUAAAAAUCUUUUCUAUGGGAAGAAAAUGACAGUACCAUAGGAAUAAGGACCGGCUAAUUACGUGCCAGCAGCCGCGGUAAUACGUAAGGUCCGAGCGUUGUCCGGAAUCAUUGGGCGUAAAGGGUACGUAGGCGGUUCGUCGCGUCUGGUGUGAAAGCCCAUCGCUUAACGGUGGGUUUGCGCCGGGUACGGGCGGGCUAGAGUGCAGUAGGGGAGACUGGAAUUCCCGGUGUAACGGUGGAAUGUGUAGAUAUCGGGAAGAACACCAAUGGCGAAGGCAGGUCUCUGGGCUGUUACUGACGCUGAGAAGCGAAAGCGUGGGGAGCGAACAGG
This 403-nucleotide ribosomal RNA is filed under the name Bacteroidota bacterium. RNAcentral's name for it is "Bacteroidetes bacterium partial 16S ribosomal RNA". It matches the Rfam family "Bacterial small subunit ribosomal RNA", at positions 355 to 776 of the family's 1533-position model. Lineage: Bacteria; Pseudomonadati; Bacteroidota. The record is from RNAcentral.